GAGUUUGAUCCUGGCUCAGGAUGAACGCUGGCGGCGUGCUUAACACAUGCAAGUCGAACGAAGCAGCAUGGAACGAAUCUUCGGAGGAGGGAAAUGGUGACUGAGUGGCGGACGGGUGAGUAACGCGUGGGUAACCUGCCUCGUACAGGGGGACAACAGUUGGAAACGACUGCUAAUACCGCAUAAGCGCACGAUACUGCAUGGUAUUGUGUGAAAAACUGAGGUGGUACGAGAUGGACCCGCGUCUGAUUAGCUGGUUGGUGGGGUAACGGCCUACCAAGGCGACGAUCAGUAGCCGACCUGAGAGGGUGACCGGCCACAUUGGGACUGAGACACGGCCCAAACUCCUACGGGAGGCAGCAGUGGGGAAUAUUGCACAAUGGGGGAAACCCUGAUGCAGCGACGCCGCGUGAAGGAAGAAGUAUUUCGGUAUGUAAACUUCUAUCAGCAGGGAAGAAAAUGACGGUACCUGAGUAAGAAGCCCCGGCUAACUACGUGCCAGCAGCCGCGGUAAUACGUAGGGGGCAAGCGUUAUCCGGAUUUACUGGGUGUAAAGGGAGCGUAGACGGUAAUGUAAGUCUGAUGUGAA
Molecule: ribosomal RNA, 589 nt
Filed under: uncultured bacterium
Lineage: Bacteria
Description: bacterial SSU rRNA
Rfam family: Bacterial small subunit ribosomal RNA
Source: RNAcentral